GGUGGUGGUCAGCUAGUAACAGAGUCUAAGUUCAGGGCAGGGUACUGGACGGUGGUCAGCUAGUAACAGUGUCUAAGUUCAGGGCAGGGUACUGGGCGGUGGUCAGCUAGUAACAGUGUCUAAGUUCAGGGCAGGGUACUGGGCGGUAGUCAGCUAGUAACAGUGACUAAGUUCAGGGCAGGGUACUGGGCGGUGGUCAGCUAGUAACAGUGUCUAAGUUCAGGGCAGGGUACUGGGCGGUGGUCAGCUAGUAACAGUGACUAAGGUUCAGGGCAGGGUACUGGACGGUGGUCAGCUAGUAACAGUGACUAAGUUCAGGGCAGGGUACUGGACGGUGGUCAGCUAGUAACAGUGUCUAAGUUCAGGGCAGGGUACUGGGCGGUGGUCAGCUAGUAACAGUGUCUAAGUUCAGGGCAGGGUACUGGGCGGUGGUCAGCUAGUAACAGUGUCUAAGUUCAGG
Long non-coding RNA from Oncorhynchus keta (chum salmon), 460 nucleotides. RefSeq lists it as uncharacterized. The transcript is spliced from 3 exons. Lineage: Eukaryota; Metazoa; Chordata; Actinopteri; Salmoniformes; Salmonidae. The record is from RefSeq and is a predicted model, not a curated record.